This 730-nucleotide ribosomal RNA is filed under the name Cyclophorus martensianus. RNAcentral's name for it is "partial 16S ribosomal RNA". Lineage: Eukaryota; Metazoa; Mollusca; Gastropoda; Architaenioglossa; Cyclophoridae. The record is from RNAcentral.
AAUUUUUUAUUUAUCAUAAUUUUUUUUGUAAAAAGAAACAUCAUCUAUAUUUAGUAGUGGUGAAGGAAAUAACUACAAUAUAAAUAUAUAAUCGUACCGUAUGGGAAAGGCUAUUAAUUUUUUUUAAGUAAAGUUUAACUUAUACCUUUUGCAUCAUGGUUUAGUAAGAAUAAUUUUUAGAUUAAGUUUCUCGAAACCUAAAGAGCUACCUUAGUUUUAGGUGUAGCCUUAAUAAGAGUGAGUGUGGCAUAACUCUACUUAAAAUCUAAGGUAGAAAUUAGAUGUUAUUCGUUUUAGGUGAUAGCUAGUUAUAAUAGAAAGAUAUAUAAGUAUUGGAUAUAAAUUUGUUAUAUAUUUGGCGUAAAUAUAUAAUAAUUUAUUUUUUUAGUUAUGUGAGGAUAAGCUCGCAUAAAUUUAUUUAAUUAAAAAUUAUAUAUAAAUCUAAGCUUGACAUUGGCUAUGAUACUGAAUUUUUUAAAAAUACAUAUAUAAUAUAUAGGUUUUGUGUAAUAUUAGGUUUGAUAUUAUUCAAUUAUGUAAUUAAAACAUAAUUGAUUUAUGCUAAAAUGAGUAUUAUUAUAAAUUAAAUUAAAAAAUAAAUUGAAUUUUUUUCAAAAAACUUCAUAGUAUUAUAAAAUAUAAUAUAGGAACUCGGCAAAAUUUAGCUCCGCCUGUUUAGCAAAAACAUGUCUCUUUGAGAAAUAAAGUAUAAAGAGUCUGGCCUGCCCGG